This 253-nucleotide ribosomal RNA is filed under the name uncultured bacterium. RNAcentral's name for it is "partial 16S ribosomal RNA". It matches the Rfam family "Bacterial small subunit ribosomal RNA", at positions 524 to 776 of the family's 1533-position model. The record is from RNAcentral.
UACGUAGGGGGCAAGCGUUGUCCGGAUUUAUUGGGCGUAAAGAGCGUGUAGGCGGCUUUACAGGUCCGUUGUGAAAACUCGAGGCUCAACCUCGAGACGCCGGUGGAAACUGUAAGGCUAGAGUCCGGAAGAGGAGAGUGGAAUUCCUGGUGUAGCGGUGAAAUGCGCAGAUAUCAGGAGGAACACCCGUGGCGAAAGCGGCGCUCUGGGGCGGUACUGACGCUGAGACGCGAAAGCGUGGGGAGCAAACAGG